RNAcentral lists this ribosomal RNA (301 nucleotides) under uncultured bacterium. Its description in RNAcentral is "partial 16S ribosomal RNA". It matches the Rfam family "Bacterial small subunit ribosomal RNA", at positions 509 to 807 of the family's 1533-position model. The record is from RNAcentral.
CAGCCGCCGCGGUAGUACGUAGGUGGCAAGCGUUGUCCGGAAUUAUUGGGCGUAAAGGGCUCGCAGGCGGUUUCUUAAGUCUGAUGUGAAAGCCCCCGGCUCAACCGGGGAGGGUCAUUGGAAACUGGGAAACUUGAGUGCAGAAGAGGAGAGUGGAAUUCCACGUGUAGCGGUGAAAUGCGUAGAGAUGUGGAGGAACACCAGUGGCGAAGGCGACUCUCUGGUCUGUAACUGACGCUGAGGAGCGAAAGCGUGGGGAGCGAACAGGAUUAGAUACCCCCGUAGUCCCUGUCUCUUAUAC